Long non-coding RNA from Lagopus leucura (white-tailed ptarmigan), 3340 nucleotides. RefSeq lists it as uncharacterized. NCBI's taxonomy places the organism in Eukaryota, Metazoa, Chordata, Aves, Galliformes, Phasianidae. The transcript has 11 exons. The record is from RefSeq and is a predicted model, not a curated record.
AGGGGAAAAGAGAAAUAGAGAAUGAGACGUGCACCCCUACAAGACGCGGUGUUCAUUCCUCACCAGUGAGGGAUGGGUCUGCCUCAGACAUGGGAGAUCUGCCGACUGAAAUAUCUUGCUGUUUCCAGCAGCUCAAUCUGCCACCAAAGGGAGAUCUCCAGUUUGCAGAGAUGUGCUCUGCUCUGGCAAGGUCUGCAGGCCAGUCUGCUGCAGGGAUUCCUCAGCAGAAGCCUGAACGGUGUGGGUUCAGCUGUGCUUGACAGGCUUAAUGCAAACACCUGGCCAGGACAAAAGUUUGAUCCUACAAGAGCCAAGCAAUGCAGCAGCUCCAUCUCAUUGGCCAGAAGAUAAGCACUGCACGUGCAGAUCUCCCAGAUGUGCCAGGACUUGGUCCAGGACUCUUCGUACAUCCUCCGAAAGCCAGAUGUAAGGGAAAGGCUGCUCCAUGUGGUGCAUCGAACACGUUUCAUUUUGUGGGCCUCAGAUUGAGCAAAAAGGGCUCUCAGAGCAAGGCUAUGGGAUGCGGGUUCUGACCUUCACACCCUUCUCUCUCCUGUUCUCAUUGGUGCUGUGUGGUGAGGGGAGGCUCCUGCAGCACCUGCCCUGGGAGCGGUAAUGUGGCAAGCUGGCAGGACCAGCAAGUGCCAUAAAGUUGCUUGGAGCGAGUCUGAAGCUGAGAAAGCUUACCCAGGCCUGGAGGGUGGAGAACAGACAGCUGGCAAGAUCACUUAUCAGGGGUUUCCUUUAGAUUAGCACAGUGCUGGCCCAAGCUUCUGCAAGCUCUCUGUGAUUUAAUGGAAACUUGCAGCUGCCUGCAGUGCGCAUGCAGCCCCACUGCCUCCAUGGAGACCCUUCCCUGGCCAUGGAAAUGCUGGGGAUGCAGCGUGGGAGCCAGGAGUGUCUGGAACAAGGCAGCAAAACUUGCUCGGUUAGACAAAGCAGUGUGACAGUCCCACCUAACAGCAGCUAUGCUACUGGGAAUGCAGACAAAGGUGUCACCGUGAUUAAUGGGGCACUCAUCUGAGCACCGCAUCCAGGAGCACAGGUUGCACCUCGCCCUGGUGGCCUGACUUUUGCAGGCUUUGUUUGAUGUGAGCCCGGCUCAGGAACGGCUGGAAGGAAUUCAGGGACAGUGGCAAAAAGGUCUGCUCGUGGUGCUAGGAUCCAGUAACUCUUCCUGUAAGAAUGUGUUGCUUGGAUGUGAAGAGAUGCUAUCGAUCUGACAAUGGAGGUUGCAGAUGAAGGAGAAAAGGUUGGAAUUAAGCCGACAGCACUCAGCUGCUGUAAGGGAACUGACUUCAUUUGACUGGCUCUGUCAUCCUCAGGAGGAAACUUUCCUCUACGAAAUGGUGAAAUAGUGCCUACGUGGAAACAUUCUGACUGUGCAUGGGCCUGGAGAUGAGAAAGAAUAAUCCUUGGGGGUGGCUGUGAAGAGGAAUUGUCACCCUUCCUCCAGCUCUAUCUUCAAGAGGCAGUUAACAAAUAACCUUCCUUUGGGAUAAAUUAGCUCUGAAUCCCAAUUCAAUAGCUGCUCAUUUUAAGAUGUCCUUGUUACCUUGUGUGAGUGGCUGAUCUUCCUUUGAAUCCUGCUGUGUUUUCAGACCCCGUGAUUGCUACGAGCAAUCAUGAGCUCCACGUUAACAGCUCAUGCACUGAUUGCGCUGCGCAGUCCCAACACAACCCUUUGUGAAAAAGUUUCUGGAAGUUGAGCCUCUGCUUUCCGCCAUCAGAAAGAGACACGGUUCUCAUUCCAUCCCAAAUUCAGGCAACUGACUUCAAACGGAAACCGGGUUUGCAAGGCCUGGUGAACGGACAAGAUCCGUGCUUCGGAGUCCAGCUUUAGAAAGAACAUAUUUCAGACAUCGUCAAGGAAACCUGGUGAAGGCACUGAGUUGGCCAACUGUGCCUGCGGGCAGCCUGGAGCAAAGGCUCUGAGAUGUGCAAAUCGUAACGCAAAUGGGUUUAUUUUUUUCUCCAGCCCGGCGUUGUUGCAAAGGAGGAGAGUGGCAUAGGAUGGCUCCAAAGAAAAGAGAAAGAAAACCUCCUGCCAUGUCAGCUUGCCCAGACCUUUCUGUGAGACAGCCUUCCCCAGCUACGUUAAGGGCUGCUUCUUGUGGACUGGAAGUAUUGCCAGAGAGUGAGUGAUCCUUAUUAAUGUGCAUCUCCAAAAACAACAGGCAGUCUUGCACAGAUCCUCUAACACAUAUCUUUGGAUUUGGAGACGUUUGAGAGCUAUUUAUUCCCUCUCACACCAAUAUCAGCCAUACUGCAAGAUGUCUUGAGCUGAUUAAAAAUCUCUUUAAUCAAAUACUGGCAGGGGAAGUGUUCAAAACAUUAGAAGAAUGUCUUUGACAAGCUGCCUCUGCACUGUGAGUGACUUCAUCCAGAGGUUGGCCCGGCAGGCUGGCAUGUGAUGCACAGCCUCCACUCACCUUGCUUUCCAAAGCUGCCAACAAAGUGCAGUGAUGAUUCUGAGAGCCAGUAGGACACUGUAGCCUGUGUUUGGUUCUUUUCUGUGAGAUAGUGCCCCCCAAAAAACCUUUGUUCCAGGCAAAAUCCAUCACUCCGUUCAUCAAUCCCUACCUACGCUUCAAAUUCCUAUAUCCCAAAUCCAUGGGAACGAUUUUGAACAUGAAUGUAGGUUGGAAAUCAUUGCUGUGCAGAUUGUCUAGAGGCUUUUUUUUCCCCUGUUCUAUGGCUGAAGUGGACUUCAAAAGGAUAAAUAAAAUCCAUUCUGGAAGACCCCCCCCCCCUGCGAGGAGCAUACUUCUUUGGAGAGAGGGUAAAAAGAAGCCUCCUGAUAUUUUAUUCAACCAGAAUGAAGUGUUUUGAUUUUGGGGAAUUCAGCUAAUUUUCUUACUCCUCAAAAUAGGUCAGCUUUGAAAUAGAAAAUGUCACGCUGAAACAAAAAAACGGAAUAGAUUUGUUUAGUAAAUGUGAGAUUAUAUGUACAUACUUUCAGAAUUUUAACAAGCUUAUGAAUGGAAAGAAAGCAUCCAGGUUAUUUCUUAUUCAAUUAGACUUGGAUUUGGGACCAGUUUUCACUCUCCAUAAACUGCUUUUCUAUUUCAUUUAGAAAAUCCCCUUCCUCCACAAAAGCCCCUUCCCCUAGCCGUUACUGGAAAUAAAUAGCUAUAAUAUAGCUGGAAUUAAUACAGCUACACUGAAUCAACUAUGUGCUGAAUUGUUUUUCCUCAGUGCUCUCUGAGCACCCAGACCUGCUCAAUAGGAAGCAUUGGCAGUUGGGGCUACAUAUAGAAAACCAGGGUGGAGGAAAUCUUGUGCCAGCAGCCCUCUUGUGUGGGUCUUUUCCAAGCUUUGACUCUAUUCCCUCAUUCCU